GUUGGAAUAACUGUCGUGAUGAAGUGGCACUGGAAGUGGCCAGGGUUUUGCCUUUCUGUCAUACGCUGACUCAGAUAGAUCUCGAGUGCAACAGCUUGAGUGUUUCUGGAGCGGAGGCCCUGCUUAAAGCCUUAAGGUUCUGCCCUGCUCUGCAACUCAUCAGACUCUGGAAGAACAAAAUCUUUGAGGGUGAUGUCCAAAGGCUCGGUCUAAGGGACAGGAGGAUGAAUUUCUCUUCCACCUGAUAUGAUCUGCACUGCUGGACAGUUGAGAAGCACAAUACCAGUUCAUCAGCACCAGUGCAGAUGAACAGUCCAGUACUUCU
This is a non-coding RNA of Neolamprologus brichardi, 325 nucleotides long. The record is from RefSeq and is a predicted model, not a curated record. Lineage: Eukaryota; Metazoa; Chordata; Actinopteri; Cichliformes; Cichlidae.